This 18-nucleotide microRNA is filed under the name Corchorus capsularis. RNAcentral's name for it is "sRNA CCACVL1_27788". Lineage: Eukaryota; Viridiplantae; Streptophyta; Magnoliopsida; Malvales; Malvaceae. The record is from RNAcentral.
CCAAAUCAAAUCAAUUCA